RNAcentral lists this long non-coding RNA (342 nucleotides) under Elaeis guineensis (African oil palm). Its description in RNAcentral is "long non-coding RNA (EGUI_LNC020364)". The record is from RNAcentral. Lineage: Eukaryota; Viridiplantae; Streptophyta; Magnoliopsida; Arecales; Arecaceae.
CUCAAAAGAACCCCGCUUUUUUGAAAUGACUGCAGAUGAAGGAAAUAACCGAUCAUAGUUCACUCCAAACAAGCCAUGCUCAACCAGGUCCCUUGCCUAUGUGCUAGGACUGCUCGACCUUCUCCGCACGAACAAAGCCAGGAAAUUCCUUUCAUAAACAAAUAUACUUUCUUUUUUAAGUAAAUAUAAAUGCAUAAUAAAACGAGAUAUUUAUUCUCCUGCUCGCGGGGUACAGCAAAUGCCCUGUGAUCCAUCAACCUAUCAACCCGUAGCAGCCGAUCCUACAGAAGCCCUAGAAGAGACAAGGCCAUGUGACGAAUCCUUGGUAUCCAAACCCUAACC